This 252-nucleotide ribosomal RNA is filed under the name uncultured bacterium. RNAcentral's name for it is "partial 16S ribosomal RNA". It matches the Rfam family "Bacterial small subunit ribosomal RNA", at positions 524 to 776 of the family's 1533-position model. The record is from RNAcentral.
UACGUAGGGGGCAAGCGUUGUCCGGAAUUAUUGGGCGUAAAGCGCGCGCAGGCGGUCCAUUAAGUUGGGUGUUUAAGCCCGGGGCUCAACCCCGGUACGCAUCCAAAACUGGUUGACUUGAGUGUAGGAGAGGAAAGUGGAAUUCCACGUGUAGCGGUGAAAUGCGUAGAGAUGUGGAGGAACACCAGUGGCGAAGGCGACUUUCUGGCCUAUAACUGACGCUGAGGCGCGAAAGCGUGGGGAGCAAACAGG